CACGUAGGGGGCAAGCGUUGUCCGGAUUCAUUGGGCGUAAAGAGCUCGUAGGCGGUUCGAUAAGUCGGGUGUGAAACCUCCAGGCUCAACCUGGAGACGCCACCCGAUACUGUCGUGACUAGAGUCCAGUAGGGGAGCGUGGAAUUCCUGGUGUAGCGGUGAAAUGCGCAGAUAUCAGGAGGAACAUCAGUGGCGAAGGCGGCCAUCUGGACUAACACUGACACUGAGACACGAAAGCGUGGGGAGCAAACAGG
This 254-nucleotide ribosomal RNA is filed under the name uncultured bacterium. RNAcentral describes it as "partial 16S ribosomal RNA". It matches the Rfam family "Bacterial small subunit ribosomal RNA", at positions 524 to 776 of the family's 1533-position model. The record is from RNAcentral.